CGAGCGAGAGAGAGCUGCUUUUCGAGCGAUGGCGAACGGUGAGUAACGCGUGAGGAACCUGCCUCAAAGAGGGGGACAACAGUUGGAAACGACUGCUAAUACCGCAUAAGCCCACGGUGCUGCAUGGCACAGAGGGAAAAGGAGCAAUCCGCUUUGAGAUGGCCUCGCGUCCGAUUAGCUAGUUGGUGAGGUAACGGCCCACCAAGGCGACGAUCGGUAGCCGGACUGAGAGGUUGAACGGCCACAUUGGGACUGAGACACGGCCCAGACUCCUACGGGAGGCAGCAGUGGGGAAUAUUGCACAAUGGGGGAAACCCUGAUGCAGCGACGCCGCGUGGAGGAAGAAGGUCUUCGGAUUGUAAACUCCUGUUGUUGAGGAAGAUAAUGACGGUACUCAACAAGGAAGUGACGGCUAACUACGUGCCAGCAGCCGCGGUAAAACGUAGGUCACAAGCGUUGUCCGGAAUUACUGGGUGUAAAGGGAGCGCAGGCGGGAAGACAAGUUGGAAGUGAAAUCCAUGGGCUCAACCCAUGAACUGCUUUCAAAACUGUUUUUCUUGAGUAGUGCAGAGGUAGGCGGAAUUCCCGGUGUAGCGGUGGAAUGCGUAGAUAUCGGGAGGAACACCAGUGGCGAA
Molecule: ribosomal RNA, 635 nt
Filed under: uncultured Lachnospiraceae bacterium
Lineage: Bacteria; Bacillati; Bacillota; Clostridia; Lachnospirales; Lachnospiraceae
Description: bacterial SSU rRNA
Rfam family: Bacterial small subunit ribosomal RNA
Source: RNAcentral